GUAUUUUGAAUUAAGUAAUUCGUAAUAUUUUUCAGACAAAGAGUUAAAGAGUUGGUUGAUGUUUGGUCGUUCCCAUAGAAGAGAACGACUGACAUUGCACACAAGGUGGAUAUGGAUUUAAAAAGUGCCAUAAAACACUUAUUAUGAAUGAUCCUUCCGCAGGUUCACCUACGGAAA
Molecule: unclassified non-coding RNA, 177 nt
Filed under: uncultured fungus
Lineage: Eukaryota; Fungi
Description: sequence contains ITS1
Source: RNAcentral